Molecule: ribosomal RNA, 292 nt
Filed under: uncultured bacterium
Lineage: Bacteria
Description: partial 16S ribosomal RNA
Rfam family: Bacterial small subunit ribosomal RNA
Source: RNAcentral
GUGUCAGCAGCCGCGGUAAUACGGAGGGGACAAGCGUUGUUCGGAUUUACUGGGCGUAAAGGGCGCGUAGGCGGGCCUUCAAGUCGGCUGUGAAAUCUCUGAGCUUAACUCAGAGUCUGCACUCGAUACUGUAGGUCUUGAGUACCGGAGAGGAUGAUGGAAUUCCAGGUGUAGCGGUGAAAUGCGUAGAUAUCUGGAAGAACACCAGUAGCGAAGGCGGUCAUCUGGACGGAUACUGACGCUAAAGCGCGAAGGCUUGGGGAGCAAACAGGAUUAGAAACCCCAGUAGUCC